GGAGAGUUAGCUGAGUUGGUUUCAAGCGCUGGCCUCAUAAGCCAGGGUACGUCGGUUCGAAUCCGUCACUCUCUA
RNAcentral lists this transfer RNA (75 nucleotides) under Variovorax sp. WDL1. Its description in RNAcentral is "tRNA-Met". It matches the Rfam family "tRNA". Rfam says of the family: Transfer RNA (tRNA) molecules are approximately 80 nucleotides in length. Their secondary structure includes four short double-helical elements and three loops (D, anti-codon, and T loops). Lineage: Bacteria; Pseudomonadati; Pseudomonadota; Betaproteobacteria; Burkholderiales; Comamonadaceae. RNAcentral also lists the same sequence under 1 other name. The record is from RNAcentral.